This 453-nucleotide ribosomal RNA is filed under the name uncultured Pseudomonas sp. RNAcentral's name for it is "bacterial SSU rRNA". It matches the Rfam family "Bacterial small subunit ribosomal RNA", at positions 930 to 1382 of the family's 1533-position model. The record is from RNAcentral. Lineage: Bacteria; Pseudomonadati; Pseudomonadota; Gammaproteobacteria; Pseudomonadales; Pseudomonadaceae.
CGGUGGAGCAUGUGGUUAAUUCGAAGCAACGCGAAGAACCUUACCAGGCCUUGACAUGCAGAGAACUUCCCAGAGAUGGAUUGGUGCCUUCGGGAACUCUGGCACAGGUGCUGCAUGGCUGUCGUCAGCUCGUGUCGUGAGAUGUUGGGUUAAGUCCCGUAACGAGCGCAACCCUUGUCCUUAGUUACCAGCACGUUAUGGUGGGCACUCUAAGGAGACUGCCGGUGACAAACCGGAGGAAGGUGGGGGAUGACGUCAAGUCAUCAUGGCCCUUACGGCCUGGGCUACACACGUGCUACAAUGGUCGGUACAAAGGGUUGCCAAGCCGCGAGGUGGAGCUAAUCCCAUAAAACCGAUCGUAGUCCGGAUCGCAGUCUGCAACUCGACUGCGUGAAGUCGGAAUCGCUAGUAAUCGUGAAUCAGAAUGUCACGGUGAAUACGUUCCCGGGUCUU